AUUAAAGUGGCAGAAAAAAAAAUGCAAGGAAUUUAAGCUUCCUUUAUGAACUUAUUCCUUUAAUA
Molecule: transfer RNA, 65 nt
Filed under: Hyalomma marginatum
Lineage: Eukaryota; Metazoa; Arthropoda; Arachnida; Ixodida; Ixodidae
Description: tRNA-Leu
Source: RNAcentral